UUCACAGAAAAUGGUGGUGCCUGGUAGCCUUCCUGAAAACCAAGGGGUGGAACAUUUUCAGCCAACAACUAGUGCACAACAUUCUGUUUUUGGCGAAGGGGAGGUCCAGAGACAACCUUUCAAAGGGCUCAUUAGGUCUUUGCAGCAGACAGGCUGUAUGCAUGUUCUCGAUCUGUAUUGCCGGGGCUUGACUUCCCGAGAAGGCUCCUUUCAGUAUGAUCCAGAGUUUAUCGAAUUGCAGGUAUGCAUCCUGAUUUGGUUAAGGUUUCUUCUAUUCUCAAACCUGGACAAGGUUGUUGGUUAAUUCAUAUAUAUUUCAUGGGAUAAAGAAACAAUAUGAUAAAUCAGAGAUCUUCAAGGGUUGCUUGGCAUACCAAAUUGUGAAAUUUUGGUUAGAUAGUUUCCCCAAAUUCUGUUUUGACAAUUAACUAAUCGAACUCUAGGCAACUGUCAUACUAUAGUUGUGUGGUGCUUAUGUGAUGAUUCAGUUGAAAAUUGGAUUCUUGCUGGCAGUAUGAGGCUGCAUGGCGUGCAGGAAAAUGGGAUUUUUCUUUACUCUAUCCACAAACGCACUCUCCACCUAUGCAACAUGUCAAGAACAAUAAUUAUCAUGAAAAUCUGCACGGGUAACACAUACUUUACUCUUACCAAUGAUGUUAUUCUUAGCCAUUAGAUUAUUCCCUGUUUGUAGCUCUUGAUUACACCAAAUUUACUUGACAUCUUACCGACACUGACUUUGCGGUGGUCUUAGGCUUUUAUUUAAAAUGAAUGAUGUGUUACAUAUGAGUUUUAAAAUAGAUUAGUUGAAACCACUAUAAUUGUUGGUCUCUAGCUUUACUUUCCUGGACCUUGUCCUAGUAUCAAUGGUCAGUUGAAAUGAAGUCCUUCGUUUUCGAAAAGUCUUAUUCAUUGCCAAUGAGACACUAGCUCCCAUCUUACAUGUGUACUUCUCAGUUGUUUGAGAGCUUUGCAUGAAGGGGAUUGCAAUGGGUUUCAUGGAAAACUGAAGGAUGCUAAGAAGGUAAUGCAUGAUUUCAGUUUAUCACCAUUGGAUUUGAAGGCUACAAGCUUCUGUGUUAAGAAUCUUUGGUUUUGCUCUGUUUCAGGAGCUUGUAUUGUCCAUUUCCCGUGCAAGUGAAGAAAGCACUGAAUUUAUAUACUCAGCAGUAGUGAAACUUCAGGUAUAUAUGUUUAGAUUGACACUAAAGUACAUCAUAUUUUCCAUUACAUUUUCCAUUACAUUUUUCAUCAUUUGGAUGCCAUUCUACUCCUUAUUGCUCAUGUCUUUACUUUGAUAAUGCUACCCUCUCUGUGAAUGCCAAACUUCCUUUUUUGGUUAAGGUCAUCUUGAUUUUGCCUAGCCAAUUACUCAACAUGUGCUGUCAGGUUUGAUCGAUGAAAUCUUAAAUAACUGCAAGUUAUGGUGUUGCGAGUUCCAAAACUUUUAAUAUGUCGUGAUGCUCACCUUUUAAAAAAGUACCUCUGCAUCUCAAGAUUUCGUCAUAAAACAUUAUCCCUUACUAAAGAUUUCAUCUGUUGAGUGAUUCCUAAACUAAACUUGAAUUUUCAAGCCGUGGAAUUUGUUAAUGCAAGCUACAUGUUAUCUUAGAAGGAAAAUAUAUAUAAAUUGCUUAAGAUUUCAGGUCUCUUUGGUAAACAAUGGUUUUGAAUUUCUAUAUGGGAUCGCUUUCGUGAUUUUUGAUAUUUUAUCAUGUCCAGAUUCUUUAUCAUCUUGGACUAGUUUGGGAUCUUCGCUGGACGACAUCUUCACAUGAAAGUAUGCAUGGCUAUCCAGUCAAACAAAUGGCAUGUGCAGACCCUGUGACGCCAACAAUGGAGCAGGUAUUUUCCUUUGAAACAUAUUUUUCAAGUGGUUGUUCACUAGCUUCUAGCAAAUGACUGGCGCUUUAAGAAUUUAUAUUAUUAAUAGCAAGUCGAAAAAGAAAAAAUAUAAGAUCUUUCAUGUACAGUUAGAUUUUAGUUGGGAUAUUCAUGUGUUGAAAAAUUCAUGUGUCGGUGUCCUGAGGAGAUUUUAAAAUAUGAACUACAGUUUUCUUGGCUGAAUAAGGAUUGGAUCUCUAUUACUACACAAACUCAGUUCCACAUGAAUUUGUUGGAGCCAUUAGUCGCAUUUAGGCGAGUCCUCCUCCAAAUCUUGGGAUGUGAGCAAUGUACCAUGCAGCAUCUUUUGCAGUCUGCUUCCUUACUUCGCAAGGUAUGUAUGAAAAGCUACCACUUCACUUGUAGUAAGAUGCCUGCAAGAAACACAUUAUCUUGUUGUUUUCAGGGAUCAAAGUUUUCUCAUGCAGCUGCGUCUCUGCAUGAGUUCAAGUUCCUUUGUGCAAAAAGUGAUGGAGGACAAUCUGUUCCAGAUUGGCUUGGAAGGGUACAUUUUAACUUUCCAUGUUUUGUUUAAUUGUACAUAUUUCUUUCUACGUAGUUUUUUUCCUUACUGAGACUUAUGAAAGUGAGCAAGACUUACAAUUGGAAAAAUUAUGAUUGUCAUCUAAUAGUUGUUACUUAAGUAAAAUAACUUUAUUGAACGAAGGCACACAAUACUUCCUUCCCCAUCUAUUAGUUACUUUUGUCUUAGAUAUGUAGUAUAUCUAGUGAUACACUAGAGAUAUGCUUUACAGUAACUUUUGUGCUGUUUCAGAUUGAAGAGGCGAAAAUAUUACAUGCCCAAGGGCGGCAUGAAGUUGCCAUCAGUCUGGCGAACUACAUCUUACAAAAUUAUCAAUUAAAAGAAGAGGCUUCAGAUAUAUACCGUGUGAUUGGGAAGUGGCUAGCAGAAACCAGAUCUAGCAAGUAAAUAAAUUGUUACACUUUUAUUUUGGUUGAAAGUAGUUUACAUAAAUGGUCGAUAUGAACUUUUUUCUGAAAUCUCAACUCGGUCCCUUUUUUGUUUCUCUUGGAUACAGCUCUAGAACAAUUUUAGACAAGUACCUCAAGCCUGCAGUUUCGCUUGCCAAAAACCCGAGUUCCGAGAUCAGCAAAAGAUUGGUAGAUAGACAAAGCCAGACUUGGUUUCAUCUGGCCCAUUAUGCAGAUGCUCUGUUUAAAAGUUAUGAGGAGAGACUCUCUUCCAGUGAAUGGCAAGCUGCAAUGCGGCUACGAAAACACAAGGUCUCCACCAUUUGCUAUUACAUUUCUUUUUCUCUGUAGUUCUUUUUUGUAAAAAAAUGUCUGUUUUUCCCUCAUUAGUGGGCACAGAUAAAUGAAUAAUUCAUCUCUUCGCUGAGUUCAUCUACAGUUUCAACUCCAAAGGUCGUUUUUCUUCUGUUGUGGAGGAAACUAACUAGCGUACUUAUUUUUUCAGACGAAAGAGUUGGAGGUGCUUAUUAAACGGUAUAAGAGUUCAAAGAAGGCAAGUAGUUGUCUACCUCCGUUUGUUUGAUCUCUGAACAUCUCUUUGCAUAGAACGGUAUGAUUGCCGGUCUAGAAAAGUCUCUCAUUUUAUUCCAUAUUUGGUAUUUUACCGUACUAGGGGGAACAAUCUGACUAUUCACUGAAGAUUCAAGAGCUGCAGAAGCAAUUAACAAUGGACAAAGAAGAGGCAGAAAAGCUGCAGGUGCGCUUUAUUCCGCCGUACAAUCUGGCUGCUACGGAAAAAUAGUCAUGAUUUUUUCUAGAUGGAUGAUAUUUACCGAUACAUAAUCUUUCCCUUUCUCCUCAAUUGCAUAGGUUGACAGGGAUAACUUUCUGAAACUUGCGUUGGAGGGGUAUCAACGUUGCCUGCAAAUUGGUGACAAAUAUGAUGUCCGAGUGGUAAGUUAUCUAAGUAUUACAGUGAGGCUUUCAUAUAAUGCAAGGUUUUGAUCGAUGAAAUCUUAAAUAACUGCAAGUUAUGGUGUUGCGAGUUCCAAAACUUUUAAUAUGUCGUGAUGCUCACCUUUUAAAAAAGUACCUCUGCAUCUCAAGAUUUCCUCAUAAAACAUUAUCCCUUACUAAAGAUUUCAUCUGUUGAGUGAUUCCUAAACUAAACUUGAAUUUUCAAGCCGUGGAAUUUGUUAAUGCAAGCUACAUGUUAUCUUAGAAGGAAAAUAUAUAUAAAUUGCUUAAGAUUUCAGGUCUUCUCAAACCCUUCGGGUCAGUUUUCUAACACUCUUACCUAUCCAAACUUGACCUUCAGUGGGCUCAUAGUUUUUCGAUUCUUCCCUGUACAGAAUUGAUUGUGCCUCUGAAUACCGUAAUGUUUGACUCUGACCUAAUUUGGUGUGAUUUUUCUCGAUUUUACAGUAUCUUUUUAUUGAUAAUUUAGUAAUCUACUAUAAUGCACAGGAAAGUCAUGAAUUUUUCUGUCUGAUGUGCCAUUAUAUUUUUGUCAAAUACGUGUUAACACCUUCCCAGUAGAGGCGUUGUACAUAUUUCCAAAGAUUUAUUCUGUACUAUCUUGCCUCCUGUCUCAAAAGGCCAUGUUUUAGAAAUUUCAUUCACCUUAUAUAGAUAAAUUUUUCUGCUUGCUUUAGGGAAUUCUUUCCACUGAAAGGGGGCAGCAAGCAUUAUCUUCUAUCGAUUCGUGUGAGAGAUCUUUGAUUGAGGCAAGUUUCUCCUCCGCAUUAGCUUUCUGGUCAUUUCAUCGGUUGAUAUUUUCUCAGAUAAUUCAUAAAGUGGAAAAUUGUUCCCAUGGGGAAGAUAAAACACUUCAUUGUAAAAGAAAAAGUAUUCAAGAUCUGGUAAAUUUGAUUUUAAGAGUCACACUUUGACAUUUAUGGACAUAUAAAUGAUCAGUCAAUCCAUUGAAAAACUUAAUGAUAGAUUCCUUUUUCUUGUUAGAGUUAUUUAAGUAAAAGCCUGCCCUAUCUGCUCAAAUGUGUACUCUUUUUUUGUAGGUACAUGGCAGGGGUGUUAACCUUGACACUGUUGAAAAGAUCUUACUGGAUAGCGAAAAGCAGUACAAAGGUAGUUUAACUAUAUCAUGAAUCUUGAUAUUUCUGAAAAGUUCUUAGAAGAAAUUACCUCCAUUUAGUUUUCUCAUGAUAUAUGUCCAUAGUCCCACGCAAAAAAAAAAAAAAUCUGUAUGUUUUCUAUGAACUGUUCCUCCUGCUAGAUGCUAUAAUUUGUUUUCACUGUCAAGUUUCAGGGUAAGUGCUUCUCUAGAAAGCUAUUAUUUAUACUGUUAUUACCAUCUAAUUUUUAAUGCAACCUAAAAAACAAAAUGGAGGUCAAUGAUGAAAUCAUAGGCAUAUUAAUUCUUUUUGGCUAUUGCUUGCAAUCAUGCAAAGUUGUUCUAAUCGAUUUUCAGGAUAUAUAUAUGCUUGGAAUAAUUAGUGAAUUCAGUUUACGUUUUUUGGAGAAUCCAAUCCUGUAUUUCAAUUUUCACAUGACAUGGAUAUGUCGGCUCCAAAAUUAUUUCAUUCAUGUUCCUGUUCUUUUUUGUUAAUUACUUAAAAAUGAUUCAUUUUCAGCGCUGUCAGCUGAAAACUUUUCACUGGAGAAGGCUGAGGUGUGGUCCACAGAUAAUAAAAACUUCGAUGGAUGGAUUUGUCAGCUUGUGUACUGUAUGAUCUCGUUAUGUGAGGAUGUCCCAAUAAGGUAUCUGUUUGGUUCCUACCUACCUUAAUUAUCCAGUUACAAUAUUCAAGUAAAAUCUUUCACUCAGUGGAUCAUUGUUGCUGCUUUGUCUGACACAGGUUAUGCCAGAAUAUAGCAAUGCUGAAAGCUGAAAUUUCUGAGCUUUUGUUUCCAAGUGUUAUUGUUAGUCUUGCAGGAAGGGUAGGGACUGAUAUCAAUUUACACGAACUAAUUACCUCACAGGUGUGGCUCCUAUUUUAAUCACUGUUUCAACCAAAUUCACUUCUCUCGUGUACUUUGCCUUCCCCAUUUAGUUUUCUUUUAUUGUACAUCAGAAUAAAACCACUGCAGAGAAUUAUUUGUCACUUUUGUUAAAGCUUGUAAUCCCCAUUGGGCAGGUGAAAGAGCACAUCUUCGUCGAUUCAAACAAGCUAACAAAGUCGAAGCAGGUCAUGUUAAAUACCCUGAAUGAACUGCGGAUGUGUUAUGUCCUUGAAAGAUCAACUUUUUCUGGGCAAACUAAAAGAGAAAAGGUUAGAGUAACUGAAAAAGAUAUGCUAUUCAUGGGGAGUAAAUAAGGACAUUCUGCUAUUUGUAUCCCCUUUAUAGUGAAAUCUGAUAUCAGAUUAGUUUGUUCAUAUAAAAAGAUCAUUACGAAAUAUGCGAGAUUACCAAAAUCAAACGUCUGAAAUUUUCUUGCAGAAUACUAAGCAUUCUAACUACAGUUCUAGAUCUAGCUCCAGCGCUGCUAAGAUUAGAGAUGUGGAAACAGCUAAUGGUAUGGCAGCGUCCAUAACUGCAAAUUGGGACAAGGUGCUCUCUUUAUUAUAUGAACUUUAGUUACUAUAUGUAUUGUUAUGAGGAAGAGCAUUGCUGAUCCAUGCAAUAUUUCAUGUGUCUGGAAUUACCAGAAAUUUCCUUCUCAAAGUGUUUUAUCAUCCUACUAAGAUUACAACUAUAUUUAACCCAAAAAGAAGAAGAUUUAUAACUAUUGGCAGUGGCACAUCUUUCCCGUUGUUGCAUUAUGAUAGCCUUGUUUUAAUUUGUGUUUAUGUCAUACAGAAGAAUUUUUUACUUUCAGAUAAUCGAUUGAGGAUUAAUAAAUUUAUAAAACAAAGCUAUCCCUGUCAGCUGUGUGCUAUCUUUUUUUUUGUGCUAUAUUUUUGAUUAACCCCAUUAGUAUUAACUGUCUCAUAUAGUUUUUCCUGUGAAAUAUGUGUGUAUCCUUCCAUAUGGCGCUGGUUGGCUCAUCAGUAUUCCUCUUGAAGUUAUAAUUUCAAGCAUGUGUUACUGUUUUUUACCUCUUGUUUCGUUUGUUGAUCAGGCAUAUUGGCUUUCCAUUGAUUAUCUUGUUGCUGCCAGAUCAGCAGUAGUGAGUCAUCCUUUUUCUUUCAAAUCAUUAACCAAUUUCUGAAAGUAGAGGCUCUAAAGUUAUUUGCAAUAUAUAUUUCUCUUCGUUCUUUCCAGGUUUGUGGUGCAUAUUUGACCGCCGCCAUGUAUGUUGAGUACUGGUGUGAGGAGAAAUUUGGCAGUCUAAGCCUCGGAGAUCCUGAUUUUUCUUAUCAUGAUAUGGUAAUUCAUGUUAUCCAUUCGGGAUCAUUGAACUUACAAUAUUUUACUCAGGCUCUUCCAUGGUUUUCAUUGUCCUAACUAAAUAGUUAAUAGGCAUUGUCGUUUAUGCUUAAUGUCUAAUUUGUAAUCAUGGAUCAUUGUCAUAUAUGAAACUUUCAUGGGAUGCAUUUUACAAAAUUGCAAAUGAUUUGUUCUUCAUGUAGAAAAGGGGCUUACAAAUAAGAGUUUUCUUGCAAUAUUUCAUGUGGAAAAUAAUUUUGUUUUGUUUGUGCUGCUUUCUAAUGUUUCCUUUCCUUUGUGGCUAACAGUUACCGGAUCACGUUGAGAUACUUGUGUCUGCAAUAACAAGAAUAAAUGAGCCUGACAGCUUGUAUGGGGUUAUACAUUCCAACAAGGUUCGAUUCUGAUACUAAAAGUGCGUCCUAUAGAGUACAUGUCGGAUAAAUGUUUGGAAUUCGUGUCAAAUGGAAACGGUUUGCUAGUCAUGAAAGUGGUUAAAUUAGUUCUUCCGUUACCUAUUGUAAGAAUAUUGUGUGAAGACUGAUAUGAUUCCGCUGCUGAUAUCAGAUGAGUAUACACUAACUAAAAUGAAACGUGAUAGGUUAAGUCUUUUCUUUAUUUAUUUUUACUGCUGAACAAUGAAAAACAUUUCCGUCUAGAACCAAGGAUUUUCAAGAAGAAAUGAAGUAACUAAAUCACAUGCAGUACUUUUUGAUCUUUUUCUGGUUUCAUAUAUGUGAAUAACACUUCCUGUUUCUUGUAUAUGGAUGCAAUCUGAAAGUUGUCUGCUCAAAUAACCACAUUUGAGCAUGAGGGAAACUGGAGUAGAGCACUUGAGUACUAUGACUUGCAAGCACGUUCACAGAAAAUGGUGGUGCCUGGUAGCCUUCCUGAAAACCAAGGGGUGGAACAUUUUCAGCCAACAACUAGUGCACAACAUUCUGUUUUUGGCGAAGGGGAGGUCCAGAGACAACCUUUCAAAGGGCUCAUUAGGUCUUUGCAGCAGACAGGCUGUAUGCAUGUUCUCGAUCUGUAUUGCCGGGGCUUGACUUCCCGAGAAGGCUCCUUUCAGUAUGAUCCAGAGUUUAUCGAAUUGCA
Molecule: long non-coding RNA, 8184 nt
Filed under: Brassica napus (rape)
Lineage: Eukaryota; Viridiplantae; Streptophyta; Magnoliopsida; Brassicales; Brassicaceae
Description: long non-coding RNA (BNAP_LNC026427)
Source: RNAcentral